GGUUAAGCGACUAAGCGUACACGGUGGAUGCCCUGGCAGUCAGAGGCGAUGAAGGACGUGCUAAUCUGCGAUAAGCGUCGGUAAGGUGAUAUGAACCGUUAUAACCGGCGAUUUCCGAAUGGGGAAACCCAGUGUGAUUCGUCACACUAUCAUUAACUGAAUCCAUAGGUUAAUGAGGCGAACCGGGGGAACUGAAACAUCUAAGUACCCCGAGGAAAAGAAAUCAACCGAGAUUCCCCCAGUAGCGGCGAGCGAACGGGGAGCAGCCCAGAGCCUGAAUCAGUGUGUGUGUUAGUGGAAGCGUCUGGAAAGGCGCGCGAUACAGGGUGACAGCCCCGUACACAAAAAUGCACAUGCUGUGAGCUCGAUGAGUAGGGCGGGACACGUGGUAUCCUGUCUGAAUAUGGGGGGACCAUCCUCCAAGGCUAAAUACUCCUGACUGACCGAUAGUGAACCAGUACCGUGAGGGAAAGGCGAAAAGAACCCCGGCGAGGGGAGUGAAAAAGAACCUGAAACCGUGUACGUACAAGCAGUGGGAGCCUCUUUAUGGGGUGACUGCGUACCUUUUGUAUAAUGGGUCAGCGACUUAUAUUCUGUAGCAAGGUUAACCGAAUAGGGGAGCCGAAGGGAAACCGAGUCUUAACUGGGCGUUAAGUUGCAGGGUAUAGACCCGAAACCCGGUGAUCUAGCCAUGGGCAGGUUGAAGGUUGGGUAACACUAACUGGAGGACCGAACCGACUAAUGUUGAAAAAUUAGCGGAUGACUUGUGGCUGGGGGUGAAAGGCCAAUCAAACCGGGAGAUAGCUGGUUCUCCCCGAAAGCUAUUUAGGUAGCGCCUCGUGAAUUCAUCUCCGGGGGUAGAGCACUGUUUCGGCAAGGGGGUCAUCCCGACUUACCAACCCGAUGCAAACUGCGAAUACCGGAGAAUGUUAUCACGGGAGACACACGGCGGGUGCUAACGUCCGUCGUGAAGAGGGAAACAACCCAGACCGCCAGCUAAGGUCCCAAAGUCAUGGUUAAGUGGGAAACGAUGUGGGAAGGCCCAGACAGCCAGGAUGUUGGCUUAGAAGCAGCCAUCAUUUAAAGAAAGCGUAAUAGCUCACUGGUCGAGUCGGCCUGCGCGGAAGAUGUAACGGGGCUAAACCAUGCACCGAAGCUGCGGCAGCGACACUAUGUGUUGUUGGGUAGGGGAGCGUUCUGUAAGCCUGUGAAGGUGUACUGUGAGGUAUGCUGGAGGUAUCAGAAGUGCGAAUGCUGACAUAAGUAACGAUAAAGCGGGUGAAAAGCCCGCUCGCCGGAAGACCAAGGGUUCCUGUCCAACGUUAAUCGGGGCAGGGUGAGUCGACCCCUAAGGCGAGGCCGAAAGGCGUAGUCGAUGGGAAACAGGUUAAUAUUCCUGUACUUGGUGUUACUGCGAAGGGGGGACGGAGAAGGCUAUGUUGGCCGGGCGACGGUUGUCCCGGUUUAAGCGUGUAGGCUGGUUUUCCAGGCAAAUCCGGAAAAUCAAGGCUGAGGCGUGAUGACGAGGCACUACGGUGCUGAAGCAACAAAUGCCCUGCUUCCAGGAAAAGCCUCUAAGCAUCAGGUAACAUCAAAUCGUACCCCAAACCGACACAGGUGGUCAGGUAGAGAAUACCAAGGCGCUUGAGAGAACUCGGGUGAAGGAACUAGGCAAAAUGGUGCCGUAACUUCGGGAGAAGGCACGCUGAUAUGUAGGUGAAGCGACUUGCUCGUGGAGCUGAAAUCAGUCGAAGAUACCAGCUGGCUGCAACUGUUUAUUAAAAACACAGCACUGUGCAAACACGAAAGUGGACGUAUACGGUGUGACGCCUGCCCGGUGCCGGAAGGUUAAUUGAUGGGGUUAGCGCAAGCGAAGCUCUUGAUCGAAGCCCCGGUAAACGGCGGCCGUAACUAUAACGGUCCUAAGGUAGCGAAAUUCCUUGUCGGGUAAGUUCCGACCUGCACGAAUGGCGUAAUGAUGGCCAGGCUGUCUCCACCCGAGACUCAGUGAAAUUGAACUCGCUGUGAAGAUGCAGUGUACCCGCGGCAAGACGGAAAGACCCCGUGAACCUUUACUAUAGCUUGACACUGAACAUUGAGCCUUGAUGUGUAGGAUAGGUGGGAGGCUUUGAAGUGUGGACGCCAGUCUGCAUGGAGCCGACCUUGAAAUACCACCCUUUAAUGUUUGAUGUUCUAACGUUGACCCGUGAUCCGGGUUGCGGACAGUGUCUGGUGGGUAGUUUGACUGGGGCGGUCUCCUCCUAAAGAGUAACGGAGGAGCACGAAGGUUGGCUAAUCCUGGUCGGACAUCAGGAGGUUAGUGCAAUGGCAUAAGCCAGCUUGACUGCGAGCGUGACGGCGCGAGCAGGUGCGAAAGCAGGUCAUAGUGAUCCGGUGGUUCUGAAUGGAAGGGCCAUCGCUCAACGGAUAAAAGGUACUCCGGGGAUAACAGGCUGAUACCGCCCAAGAGUUCAUAUCGACGGCGGUGUUUGGCACCUCGAUGUCGGCUCAUCACAUCCUGGGGCUGAAGUAGGUCCCAAGGGUAUGGCUGUUCGCCAUUUAAAGUGGUACGCGAGCUGGGUUUAGAACGUCGUGAGACAGUUCGGUCCCUAUCUGCCGUGGGCGCUGGAGAACUGAGGGGGGCUGCUCCUAGUACGAGAGGACCGGAGUGGACGCAUCACUGGUGUUCGGGUUGUCAUGCCAAUGGCACUGCCCGGUAGCUAAAUGCGGAAGAGAUAAGUGCUGAAAGCAUCUAAGCACGAAACUUGCCCCGAGAUGAGUUCUCCCUGACUCCCUGAGAGUCCUGAAGGAACGUUGAAGACGACGACGUUGAUAGGCCGGGUGUGUAAGCGCAGCGAUGCGUUGAGCUAACCGGUACUAAUGAACCGUGAGGCUUAACCUU
RNAcentral lists this ribosomal RNA (2902 nucleotides) under Escherichia coli. Its description in RNAcentral is "23S ribosomal RNA". It matches the Rfam family "Bacterial large subunit ribosomal RNA". Lineage: Bacteria; Pseudomonadati; Pseudomonadota; Gammaproteobacteria; Enterobacterales; Enterobacteriaceae. The record is from RNAcentral.